Erinaceus europaeus (western European hedgehog) is the source of this 1107-nucleotide long non-coding RNA. RefSeq lists it as uncharacterized. The record is from RefSeq and is a predicted model, not a curated record. The transcript has 3 exons. Lineage: Eukaryota; Metazoa; Chordata; Mammalia; Eulipotyphla; Erinaceidae.
CAGGGACUUGGGGUGUCAAAUGGGCAGGGGCAGCAGGUGGUCUCAGGUCUCAGGGGAGGCCCCCAAGAUUCCUGGGGUCCAGCACCCUCUCCAGUGAUCCCCAGGUGUCCUAGUUGAGGGCAUGUGCAGUGUGACAGUGCCAUUGGGUGCCUGUGCCAGCGACAGAGUGCCCUGAGUACGGGUCCCUGUUGGAGCACUGCUCAGCUUUGGCUUAUGGUGGUGCAGGGGAUUGAACCUGGGACUCGAGAGCCUCAGGCAUGAGAGUCUCUUUGUAUAAGCAUUAUGCUAUUUACCCCUCCCCACCCUUUAUUUAAAAAUGUAUCAACACGAGUGCCACCCCAGCAUGCUUCACUUCAGACUGUGUCCAGAGACUUCAGGUGUGGAAUGACAACCCUUCAGCUUCGUUACUCGGGUGAGACCUUUCCUUUCAUAGGAUUCUCUAAUUCCAUUCCAGGUGUUCCACUCCCCAAUAAAGUCCCCAAACCUAGAUAUAGUCCAGGUCCCCUGAGAUAGAGCAUAGGUUCACCCGUGCCCAUAAACCAGGGAAAAAUAUAUACCUGAAAGCAGAAGUACACAAGAGUCUGCAAUGAGCACCCCCUGACACUUCACCUGCACUAGUCCAGCCUUUAGGUCCAUGAUUGAUCAACAAUUUGUUUGGCUUUAUAUGUUGACUCUCUUUUCAGCCACCAGGUUCCGGAUGCCAUCAUGAUGCCGACCAGACUUCCCUGGGCAGACAACCCCACCAAUGUGUCCUGGAGCCCUGCUCCCCCAGAGCCCUGCCCCACUAGGGAAAGAGAGAGGCAGGCUGGGAGUGUGGAUCCACCUGUCAACACCCAUGUUCAGCGGGGAAGCAAUGACAGAAGCCAGACCUUCCACCUUCUGCAUCCCACAGUGACCCUGGGUCCAUGCUCCCAGAGGGAUAAAGAAUAGGAAAGCUAUCAGGGGAGGGGAUGGGAAACGGAGAUCUGGUGGUGGGAAUUGUGUGGAGUUGUAAGCCUCCUAUCCUACGGUUUUGUUAAUGUCUCCUUAAAUAAAUAAAUUUUAAAAAAUAUUGCCUGCUGGGAUCAAAGUAGCACUUUGCACACAAGCUGGGCUCCACCCACUCUC